This is a long non-coding RNA of Pyrus x bretschneideri (Chinese white pear), 742 nucleotides long. RefSeq lists it as uncharacterized. The record is from RefSeq and is a predicted model, not a curated record. NCBI's taxonomy places the organism in Eukaryota, Viridiplantae, Streptophyta, Magnoliopsida, Rosales, Rosaceae. The transcript is spliced from 3 exons.
AAUUCUACAUGGUAUGGAUAGCAGAGCUCAACAUGGAUAAAAUUAAGUUUCCAAAAGUACCCCUAACAACCCUCCAAGGCUGACUAGAAGAUCGCCUGCGAUUCCAAGCUCUGCUCCCUCCUUGACGAGUAUGGCCAGGUCCUUAUUGUCGCCGCCGACAACGUCGGCUCCAAGCAGCUCCAGAACAUCCGCGAGAGGCUGCGCGGAGACUCCGUCGUUCUGAAGGGGAAGAACACGAUGAUGAAAAGGUUCGUCAGUAUCCAUUCGGAGAAGACGGGCAACAGUGCCUACCUCAACCUCGUCCCCCUCUGUGAGCAACGUCGGUCUGAUUUUCACAAAGGGUGAUUUGAAGUCAGUGAAGAGGUUGGCAAGUACAAGGAAACCGUGGUUAAGAAUUUGGUGUUCAGUGCAGAAAGAACCUCAUUUGAGGGUACUUUUGAUAAGGCCUGCGGUUUGCAUCCUCAAGGACCAUUCGCAAAAGCAUAUGGAAUGUCCGGGGAGUGCAUCCGGAGGAGGAGCAUCAUCGGCUAUGCCAACAUUUGGCAACAGCUGGGUUGAAAAUCGUAAUGAUUUGGUGACAGCUUUGAAUUUGUUUCUCUCUCCCUCUAGUUUUGCUACUUUCAGAGCGCCUGCUGCUUGCUUACAUGUACCUAUAUCCAUUUUUCCGACUAAUGUACUGUGUUUAAUUAAUCAGAGACAUCCAAACCAUCUUUUUUAUUUAUUUAUUUAUUUUAUUUGUACA